Molecule: non-coding RNA, 2628 nt
Organism: Ictidomys tridecemlineatus (thirteen-lined ground squirrel)
Lineage: Eukaryota; Metazoa; Chordata; Mammalia; Rodentia; Sciuridae
Source: RefSeq, a predicted model, not a curated record
CAAUGAGCAGCAGAUUCGUUGUACAUGAUUUUAAUACAGCAUGUCAUUCCUCUGUUCCUGCACGAGGUGGCCUCGCGUCCGCAGUGCAGCCCCACAGGUCGCUAGGCUGACUGUCCAUCUCAUGGCAACACAACUGGCAACCUGGGUGGGCUUUGGCGCCUGACGCACUCAGUGAAUUUUGGCUGCCUUGUUUUUGUGAGAUGCAUCUUAGGUGCUAGUUUCCUCAAUAUGACAUCCGUGGUAAAAUUAUUGUAAAUGCAAAUAACUAAAGACACAUUUCUCAUAACCAGAAUUAAUUCCCGGCCUUACGUUUCUUUUUGUUGCAGAAAAGGAACAUUGCAAGUGAGCCUUUUUACAUGGUUAUUUUAAUAAGAUUUCGAGAAAAUCUUUUCAAGAAGUAUUCGUUUACAAAAUUGUUUGUUGCGCCACUUUUUACUUAGCCAGCAGGGCGCUCAUUCUUGGCUUGUUUGAGCUUUAGAAACCCUCAGAGCCCCUUUAAUACUAGUUCCUUGCCCCACCCCUCCCAGGUGCAGUUUAUGUGCAGUCCUGAGGACUAAUAGGUUCUCUUCUUCCUUGCUGAGUUGCAGGUAGCUGAGAGUGGUAGACAUUUGCCUUUCACAUGUAAGCUAAAAUAUUGCCUGAUGUUUGCUUUAACCUUCUGAUAUGGAAUAAGGACCCACUGUGUAAUAUGCAUAGAAAUCAGUACUAAGUUUUGCAAAAAGAAAAUGGUUUAAAUUAGACGUGGGUCAGAAAGCUAUAGUCUCUGUGACAGGAGAAUCAUGAGUUCAAUUCCAGUCUGGGCAACAUAUAAACUCCAUCUCAAAAAAGAAAAAGAAAAGGUUUUAUUGCACUGUCACGGACAAAGAGCUAGUAGAAGCUUAAAUUUGCCUCCCCAGUCAGUUGCUGGUAGCAAAUUUACAGGAGGGGAGAGGGGGGAAGUUGCUUAUAGAUUGAAUGGCAUGAAAGGGGAGUUUGAGGGUUCUUUUAUGCAGGCACAGGUGGUUAUCAUGCCUCUUUACAGAUCAAAUAUUUCUAAUAGGGGGUGGUAACAUGUUCUGCUCUGGGGACUUUAAGGCUGGGACAUGACAUUCUAAAGGUCAUUGAUCAGAGGAUCUACUUUGCAUAUAUCCAUUCUUGAAAAGACUGUUUCAUAUGAUCCCUAAGUGGAGUCUGUAGGAUUUUCCUGAAAGAUAGCUUAAGCAUUUUGCUAUUUAAGGACUUUAUCUCUGGGUGUGUCCAGAUUCUUAAAUGGAUUUAAUUCUGUUUUCAUCUUUUUGUAGAAAUUCUCAUGCUUUCCUUCCACCAUUUCUCUUUCCUGGAAGUUAAUAACAGUGGAUUUCCCUUCUAAGGGUAGCUUGAAGUGUAAGCAGUAACUUUGAUAUGAAGCAAGAAAAAAGUUUUAUUCUCUCUUCCUUUGGCUGCAAGUAUUUCAGGAAGUUCAAAAUGAAAGUAAAGAAGACAACAGAACAGACAGCUCAUACCACAGUUACAUUUGGGGAGAAGAUGGCCACUUGGUGACAGGCCAAGAUUAGAGUGGUGCUGCUAUAAGCAAGGAACACCUGGGUUACAAGAAGCUGGACGAGUCAAGGAAGGGAGACUGUUGGUCCCAGUGGAUCUCCUGAGCUAAUAAGGAAGAUGCUCAGCUCUGUUGAAAACCAUUGCCUCUUCAAGCAAAGAUGGUUUCUUAAUCCAUUUUCUGCUUCUAUAACUGAAUACAACAGACUGGGCUGGGAAGAGCAUGGUACCAGCACCGCUCAGCCUAUGUCAAGAACCCAGGCUCUCCCAGGUUUGGCUCUGGAUUUGGUUGCCUGUGGUGUUGGUCCGUCUUCCCAGCUGGCUCCAGGAGGAGAUUAGGACGAGAAGUCAGCAGAAGCUCACAGGCAGACAGAGACACCACAUGAGGACACAUGGAGAAAAUGGCCAUCUCUAAGGCAGGAAAGAAGUGGGAGGACUCCAGCCCCUCCAGCACCUUGAUCUUGGACUUCCACUUCCAGAACUGUGUGGAAAUAACAAGUCUGCUGUUUUAUAUCACCCAGUUGGUGAGAUGUUGUCAUAGCAAUGCUAGCAAAUUAAUAUAGCCGGUUGAGGUAGUCAACAAAAAUCCAGAGAAGAUACAAGUCAAAGCAUGCCAAAGUCGCCUGGCCACCAUUGUACCAUUGCAAGUACCGUGUAGCAGAUUGCCUCCAAUCAUCUGGUCACAAAGAGUGCAGCAUGAUACCAAAUAACCUUGGAUCAUACAUGCCCAGGUCAAGUACAUCUUAGACAUGAUAGUACUUAUUAGUUUCUCCCACGAAUAUGGAGAAUUGCUUUUGGUAGAAUGCAAGCUAUAUAUUUAUGAUGCAACUUGUACUUUAGGAAUAUCUCUUCAUUUCCUCUGUAUUGCUUUUUGAGUGUGUUAUGAUUUGGUUGUGGUGUGAGAUAAUGCAAGAAGGUUUGGAGGAGAAAUGACUGUGUUAUAGCCUUCACCUAAUCAGUGAACUAAUCCUUGAUAGGACUGAGUGGUAGCUGGAGGCAGGUGAGGCAUGGCAGUGGGGUAUAUAUUUUUGAUCUAGAGAGUGGAGCCCUUUCUCUGCUCUCUGAUCCUGAUGUGAGCUGCUUCCCUUCCGCCAUACUCUUCUGCCAUGAUGU